Molecule: long non-coding RNA, 1044 nt
Filed under: Fukomys damarensis (Damara mole-rat)
Lineage: Eukaryota; Metazoa; Chordata; Mammalia; Rodentia; Bathyergidae
Description: lncRNA (ENSFDAG00000024920.1)
Source: RNAcentral
AGCCCCUGGAGACAGGAAUCACAGCUACAGAUGUUAGAGCUUUCAGUGACUAUUAAUUGAUGGAGAUUGAACAUUACUAUUCUACUACUAGGUUUUAAAUUUGCGGGAAGGAGGAAAUUCUAGUCUGCUGGGAGAAAGUAUCUUCUUCUUUGCUGCUCACAUGAGUGUGGAGCUGUCUCCUACCCCUACGGAAUGAAGCACCCGCUUGUCCACAGACCCUGAGGAGGGGCAAAGACUAUGGAAAGAUGAGAUUUCCUCAGAGGUUACACACUUCCUCUUCCAAUCACCCAGUUCCUUGGGGGAAACUUUCAGCCUGUGAUGAGAAGAGAAGGAUGCAGGCCUUGAAACCGUGAUCAAGGAGAUGAUGCCAGACUCCUUGGCAUCUGGCUUCCCACUUUGUUGCCUCUUCUGCCCAAGUUCGUCGUGCAUGUGUGCCGGAAUCAUCCAAGUGCUGCACACUGACCCUGGAAAACUUCAUCCUCAGGGCAGGUAACACACCAACUGACAUUAAUCGGCAAGCAGCCACCUGUAGCCCAACCUGCCCUUGGAGAGACAGCAUCGAAAUAAACUUACAGGAUUCAUAACCAGAGCUUCCUCCACACAGUUCUCUGUGCUGUUCUCCUGAAAAUCUACCACCUCCACAUUCUUCUCCCACCCUGGCCUGCAAGCCUGCAACUUUGGCUUAUAUUGCUUAUUAAGAACUGAUGAGAAUCUGAACACAGCAAAAAUUGAAUCCAGACACAAAAGAGAAUCUCUGCAAAUUUUUUCCCUGCCCUUUUUUAGACUAUUUCAUAAAUUCAUUUCUUAAAUAUAUUUCCUAAAUCAUUGAAAACAAUUAACAUUGUCCGAAAUACUUCAGAGUGAAUAAAACAUGAAGUAUUGAUACCAUGAUCUCGACAAGUUCUGUGUAUGACAGAAAAAGCCAAACACCAGGUAGCUUUAGCUCCAGUUAGCUCUUGAACUUCAAGUUUUAGUGCAUUUAUUUUUUUGUAAGCUCUGAUUGCCACCACCAAAGCUCCCACCUGGUUUCUGAAGAGCCAAAAC